AGUGUGGAGGCGGGAGCCCGGGCGGCCGGCUUGAACUCCGUGCACGCGGGCCUGGAGCUGCGCCCCUGCGUCUUUUCCCGACUUCUGAUCCGCAGAGGGACACUCGGAGCCCCAGCCUGGGUCGCAGUGCCUUCGGUCUGCGGGCCUCAGUUUCUCGGUCCGCGCCGGGGGUUUGUGGGGGCACCUGGAGACAUUUGGGCCGUUCUCGCAGUCUCGGGAGGCCGCGCCCGCUCCUUGCCUGGCCUCACGGCGGCCGAUCUCGUUCUCCACUUUCUAGGUGGCGCCUGGACUCUCGCCCUCAGAGGGAGGCCCGUCCCACGGUCUCUGGCUACGGAUCCCAGGACCCUCUUCGCGGGCGAUUCGCGUAGCCUCAGUCAGGGCCGGGACCUGAAGCUGUGCCUGUGGGACCUCGCGGAGGGCAGGAGCGCUGUCGUAGACUCCGUGUGCUUGGAGAGUGUGGGCUUCUGCCGGAGCAGCAUCCUGGCCGGGGGCCAGCCACGCUGGACGCUUGCCGUGCCAGGGAAGGGCAGUGACGAGGUUCAGAUUCUGGAGAUGCCAUCCAAGACGUCAGUGUGCGCCCUGAAGCCGAAGGCAGAUGCCAAGCUGGGCAUGCCCAUGUGCCUGCGGCUGUGGCAGGCCGACUGCAGCUCCCGCCCACUCCUUCUGGCCGGCUAUGAGGAUGGAUCGGUGGUCCUGUGGGACGUCUCUGAGCAGAAGGUGUGCAGCCGCAUCGCCUGCCAUGAGGAGCCCGUCAUGGACCUUGACUUUGACUCCCAGAAGGCCAGGGGCAUCUCAGGCUCCGCGGGGAAGGCGCUGGCUGUCUGGAGCCUGGACGGGCAGCAGGCCCUGCAGGU
This 854-nucleotide small RNA is filed under the name Pan troglodytes (chimpanzee). RNAcentral's name for it is "processed transcript". Lineage: Eukaryota; Metazoa; Chordata; Mammalia; Primates; Hominidae. The record is from RNAcentral.